RNAcentral lists this long non-coding RNA (331 nucleotides) under Setaria viridis. RNAcentral's name for it is "long non-coding RNA (SVIR_LNC004049)". Lineage: Eukaryota; Viridiplantae; Streptophyta; Magnoliopsida; Poales; Poaceae. The record is from RNAcentral.
AAAACCCUAAUCCUUAGCCCCUUCUAGUCGUAGUGCUACCCAUCCAAAAUCUCAAAUUAUUCCAAAACCUAGCUGUUGUGAUGCCCAAUACAAACCACACAUAUCAACCCAAUGUAGCUGAUAUGCUGCCCAACCAAAACCCAAGAUAGUAGUAAAACCUAGCCAUCAUGCCACCCAUCCAGAACCCUAAAAAAAUCCAUUCUUAAUUCUCUAAGAAAUUCAACAAUUCCAUCCAUUAAUUAUUUAGAAACUUAUUUCUAAAUAAUUAAUAAACCAUUCAUCUUUUAUCCGGAGAUUAUCCUUUAGAAAUCCGAUAAUUCCUAAAACCACC